This 253-nucleotide ribosomal RNA is filed under the name uncultured bacterium. RNAcentral's name for it is "partial 16S ribosomal RNA". It matches the Rfam family "Bacterial small subunit ribosomal RNA", at positions 524 to 776 of the family's 1533-position model. The record is from RNAcentral.
UACGUAGGGUCCGAGCGUUGUCCGGAAUUAUUGGGCGUAAAGAGCUCGUAGGCGGUUUGUCGCGUCUGCUGUGAAAUCCCGAGGCUCAUCCUCGGGUCUGCAGUGGGUACGGGCAGACUGGAGUGCGGUAGGGGAGAAUGGAAUUCCUGGUGUAGCGGUGGAAUGCGCAGAUAUCAGGAGGAACACCGGUGGCGAAGGCGGGUCUCUGGGCAACAACUGACGCUGAGGAGCGAAAGCGUGGGGAGCGAACAGG